UACGUAGGGGGCAAGCGUUGUCCGGAAUCAUUGGGCGUAAAGAGCGCGUAGGCGGUCCGGUAAGUCCGCUCUGAAAGUCCGGGGCUCAACCCCGGGAGGCGGGCGGAUACUGUCGGGCUAGAGUCCGGAAGAGGCGAGUGGAAUUCCUGGUGUAGCGGUGGAAUGCGCAGAUAUCAGGAGGAACACCGGUGGCGAAGGCGGGUCUCUGGGCAGUAACUGACGCUGAGGAGCGAAAGUGUGGGGAGCGAACAGG
Molecule: ribosomal RNA, 253 nt
Filed under: uncultured bacterium
Lineage: Bacteria
Description: partial 16S ribosomal RNA
Rfam family: Bacterial small subunit ribosomal RNA
Source: RNAcentral